GCCUGGCCAGCAUAAGUCCCCUACCCCAUCCCUCAGGAGAGGGCCAGCAGAGGCCUCAGCCCGGACUCACCCAACAAAACAGCUAUUCCAGAUGCCUGGGAUUCACCUGGCUUUGGCUUCUCUCCCACUGCACAUUCUGGCCUGGGUCUAGGUGAGACGGUUACCCUGCUUCCAGGCACGUACCCAUGCUACUCUUGAGCACUUGGUCCUCGGGUGGCAGAGCUGCCUGCCUGCCUGAGUUUCCUCCACAUCCUGUGUGGGGAAGAUUCAGCAAGACCUCCCUGAGCUUUUGGACACGGAAGAGGGAACCUGGUGUCUGGCAUUGGCAAAAGUUAAAGAAACAGAAAUCAGGCUGCCUCAGGCUCAGGAGUCCCCAUCCCACCUCACAGGCUGGCCAGGACACCUGCAUUCUGGAAGGGCAGUGUUCCCCACGCCCUGAUCAGUGA
RNAcentral lists this long non-coding RNA (446 nucleotides) under Rhinolophus ferrumequinum (greater horseshoe bat). Its description in RNAcentral is "lncRNA (ENSRFEG00010010646.1)". The record is from RNAcentral. Lineage: Eukaryota; Metazoa; Chordata; Mammalia; Chiroptera; Rhinolophidae.